This 998-nucleotide ribosomal RNA is filed under the name human gut metagenome. RNAcentral's name for it is "bacterial LSU rRNA". It matches the Rfam family "Bacterial large subunit ribosomal RNA", at positions 1926 to 2925 of the family's 2925-position model. The record is from RNAcentral.
AACGGCGGCCGUAACUAUAACGGUCCUAAGGUAGCGAAAUUCCUUGUCGGGUAAGUUCCGACCCGCACGAAAGGUGUAACGAUUUGGGCACUGUCUCAACGAGGGACCCGGUGAAAUUGAAAUACCUGUGAAGAUGCAGGUUACCCGCGACUGGACAGAAAGACCCCAUGGAGCUUUACUGUAACCUGACAUUGGGUUUUGAUACAUUACGUACAGGAUAGGUGGGAGGCAUGGAAAGCUGGACGCUAGUCUGGCUGGAGCCGACGUUGGGAUACCACCCUUGAUGUAUUGAAAUUCUAACCGCGAGAGUAACGAAAUCCGGGACAGUGUCAGGCGGGCAGUUUGACUGGGGCGGUCGCCUCCGAAAGAGUAACGGAGGCGCCCAAAGGUUCCCUCAGCGCGGCCGGAAAUCGCGCGAAGAGUGUAAAGGCAGAAGGGAGCUUGACUGCGAGUCAAACACGACGAGCAGGUACGAAAGUAGGGCUUAGUGAUCCGGUGGUACCGAGUGGAAGGGCCAUCGCUCAACGGAUAAAAGCUACCCUGGGGAUAACAGGCUAAUCUCUCCCAAGAGUCCAUAUCGACGGGGAGGUUUGGCACCUCGAUGUCGGCUCAUCACAUCCUGGGGCUGAAGUCGGUCCCAAGGGUUGGGCUGUUCGCCCAUUAAAGUGGUACGUGAGCUGGGUUCAGAACGUCGUGAGACAGUUCGGUCCCUAUCCAUCGCGGGCGCAAGAGAUUUGAAGGGGGCUGCUCCUAGUACGAGAGGACCGGAGUGGACGAACCGCUGGUGUACCAAUUAUCCCGCCAGGGGUACAGUUGGGUAGCUACGUUCGGAAAGGAUAAACGCUGAAAGCAUCUAAGCGUGAAACCAGCCUUAAGAUGAGAUCUCUCAUAGAGCAAUCUAGUAAGACACCUUAAAGAAGAUGAGGUUGAUAGGUCGGGAGUGUAAGUACAGCAAUGUAUUGAGCGGACCGAUACUAAUAUGUCGAGGGCUUGACUUA